RNAcentral lists this ribosomal RNA (497 nucleotides) under uncultured bacterium. Its description in RNAcentral is "partial 16S ribosomal RNA". It matches the Rfam family "Bacterial small subunit ribosomal RNA", at positions 28 to 507 of the family's 1533-position model. The record is from RNAcentral.
GAUGAACGCUGGCGGCGUGCCUAAUACAUGCAAGUAGAACGCUGAAGCUUGGUGCUUGCACCGAGCGGAUGAGUUGCGAACGGGUGAGUAACGCGUAGGUAACCUGCCUGGUAGCGGGGGAUAACUAUUGGAAACGAUAGCUAAUACCGCAUAACAGUAGAUAUUGCAUGAUAUCUGCUUGAAAGGUGCAAAUGCAUCACUACCAGAUGGACCUGCGUUGUAUUAGCUAGUUGGUGAGGUAACGGCUCACCAAGGCGACGAUACAUAGCCGACCUGAGAGGGUGAUCGGCCACACUGGGACUGAGACACGGCCCAGACUCCUACGGGAGGCAGCAGUAGGGAAUCUUCGGCAAUGGGGGGAACCCUGACCGAGCAACGCCGCGGCAGUGAAGAAGGUUUUCGGAUCGUAAAGCUCUGUUGUAAGAGAAGAACGAGUGUGAGAGUGGAAAGUUCACACUGUGACGGUAGCUUACCAGAAAGGGACGGCUAACUACGUG